Molecule: non-coding RNA, 599 nt
Organism: Podarcis lilfordi (Lilford's wall lizard)
Lineage: Eukaryota; Metazoa; Chordata; Lepidosauria; Squamata; Lacertidae
Source: the annotation of a GenBank genome assembly
GGACAAAAUGGAGUGCUUUCAGAAGUGGCAGAGAGACAUUUCGAAGUUUGUCUGGCAGGGCAAAAAGCCCAGAAUUAAGUUUAAGAUACUAACUGAUGCAAAACAAAGAGGGGGCUUUGCCCUGCCGGACUUAAAGUUGUAUUACGAAGCCGCAGCGUUCUGCUGGCUAAAAGAUUGGCUACUUCUUGAAGACACUGAUGUGUUGGAUUUGGAGGGGUUUAACAAUGUUUUUGGAUGGCAUGCAUAUUUAUGGUAUGACAAAGUUAAAGCAAAUAAGGCCUUUAAGAACCAUAUUGUUAGAAAAUCACUGUUUAAUGUCUGGACAAAAUAUAAAGACUUGCUGGAAAAUAAAACACCAAGGUGGCUUUCACCUUUGGAAGCUAAGGCCCGAAAAAGACCCAAUAUGGAGGCCAAAUGGCCAAAAUAUUGGGAAAUACUAGAAAAGAUGGAGACAAUUGGAAAUUGCAGAGUUUGGAGAAAAUGAAAGACAAAGUGCGAGAUUGGUUACACUAUGCUCAGAUUAAAGAAGUUUUUAAAAAUGAUAAGAAACUAGGGUUCCAGGUGGAGAAAUCGAAAUUAGAAACAGAAUUGUUAGAACC